AAUGUUUAAUUUUCAUGUCAGUACUUCUAACUCAGUGGCUGUAAGUGGGUUAUGAAAAGGAUUAAGUAAUUUUGAAAAAAUUGCCAAAAAAGAGAAUUCCAUCCCAACCUUUAAUGUAUGUUUUUGUGUAUAUUUCUUGAAAAAACAGAAAUAUUUAGCAGGAUCAUUAGAAACAGCAAACUCAGGAUCACUUUUUUGGGCAAAUCGACACUAAAACAGGCUAAGGGGUGCACUCACACUAGGCCAUCUGGCCGUGGCCGUGGCCGUUUUCACACCUAACCGUGCUCAAAUUGAACUUCGAAUAUGAUCUUUGGGCAAAAGUCAAAGCCCUAUCACAUAGAGACACACACGAAAAUGUUCAGCCAUUUGUAGCCAUGAAAAAUUUGUCGGCUGCAGCAGCGAUUUAGGUUUUGGCUGAGCCGGCUAGCCAGCCAAUAACUUCAUCAGCCAGCCAUUAUUCUCAAAACAAAUGGCUUCGGGGUCUGUGUGGGUGCAGGCCAGAGAACAAUGGGGCCAUUCGAGCACGGUUAGGUGUGAAAACGGCCAACGGCCACGGCCAGAUGGCCUAGUGUGAGUGCACCCUAAAUGGACAAGCCUCUAAGCCUAAGGCAAGGUUUUUCAAGUGUGUGUGUGUGUGGACCACUAUUUUUAAUCAAUUUUCGCGGACCACCUCAUAAUACUCAUAAUUAAAUAUGUCUGCACACAGUCCUACCUGAAUUACCCGCCCCUCUUAAUAGGCCUAGUAUCACUAAAAACAACUGGUCAUAGCAUCAGUACAACAGGCUUGUUAAAAGGAAGUACUUUAUAUUUUAUUGUGCUUUUCCACGGACCACAUGCAGUACCGUCACGGAACACUGGUGGUCCGCGGACCAGUGUUUUUAUGUGCGUAAAAGCAAGGGCUAUUUGGUUCUUUACAGGGACUCGCACCUUUGUUGCAUUUGAGAAUUACAGCACAUUCAAAUCAUCCCGCCUUCCUCCAAUGCCCCACCCCCUCGUUCCCAUCCGCGGUCUUUUAUUUAAGAAACUUUAUUUACACAAGCAGACUUACAACCUACUGCCUCCGCGCACGCACGUGAGUUUUUGUUUACCGAAGCAAUGGAAUCGGAUUCAGAAGCACCGGACGACAGUGUAGUAGAUCCUGACUACAGCAUUGAAGUUUACACAGAGGAAGAUGAUAUUGAUAUUGAUGACGAUGAUGAUGACGAUUCUCCAGGCGAAGACACCUCAAGGAAGAAAGCAAGGACUGAAAGUGGAGGCAGAGGAAACCAUGGCAGGGGAAUGAAAGGCAGGGGCCGUGGUUUUCCACAACACAAAAAAAAACCAAACACAUAAGGCCAACAAGUUGUGGAGGCAGAGGAAACGAGCAGAGGAGCCAGAAAAAGAACAGGCCCUUCUAGAGGCAGCCGAGGCAGAGGUAGGGGGGGCCGUGGUGUGACACAGGGUGGAGAGGACUGUGAUGAGGAGAGACCAGGAACCAACAGAGAUGUUCCUAGCAGAGCAAGAAGAAGAGCAAGAGGUCGCCGGGGACGUGGACCUGCUGUUCUUACUCAUGAUGAUCUAGUUCAGCAAUUUCAGCAGGAGAGGAUUGCCGCUGAGCAGGCUAGAAUUCAAGCUCUAGACAUCACACAGUCUCAUGAGCUGCUUCUGACCUGCCUGGAAAGGGACCCAAGCAUGCUGUUUGACCUGAUGGCACACUCACAGGUUCAGGAUGAUUCCCAAAUUAUUCGAACACCCGGGCAACCAGAGUGGUGUGUCUGUGGCAGAUGCAGGUAGAUGAUUAGAGACAUUGAGAAGGUGUGCUGCCGACAAACGCUGGAAAAUUGCAUCUCUGUCCUGCCUCACAUGGAUGCCUUCAUCUUGCAGCCGGGGGUCCUCCGCAUGGCUAGACGCAUCUGGAAUGACUCCCGAGCAUUAGAUGAUGCACAAACACCGGGGGAAAGCCACAGGCAGUUCCGCUUUUCUGCAUAUAGACAGUAUAUAAUUUGGCAGUAUGGUCAACUUGGACAAGGCCACAGAGUUGUCAUACCAAGUUGCUGUGUUUGGAGAAUACGUGAAACAUACCCAGACCCUAAUGGGAUCUACAAAGGUUUUAUCCCUAGCCGAAAUGGUAUAGAUAAGGAAUAGACUCCAGCCCGUGUACCCUGCCCUGUGAAUUAUGUACAUGGUACUGUCUUAUUACUGUAUAUUUUGGCCAUAGUUAGUGACCCAUGUUUCUAAAUUAAAAAUACAUAUUUAC
Molecule: long non-coding RNA, 2236 nt
Organism: Gadus morhua (Atlantic cod)
Lineage: Eukaryota; Metazoa; Chordata; Actinopteri; Gadiformes; Gadidae
Exons: 3
Source: RefSeq, a predicted model, not a curated record